AUUUUAAAUCACUAUAUUGUUAUGAGUGAGUUUAUCCUUGCAAAAUCUAUCAAUAAGUUCUAAGUCCUUUCCUUCCUUAUAUAGUGUGAGUGUGUGUGUGUUAAUAUGUUUACUAAAUCUCUAUGUUAGUGUGAGUUUUUUCCCUGCAAAGUCUAUCAAUAAGUUCUAAGUCCUUUCCUUCCUUAUAUAGUGUGAGUGUGUGUGUGUUAAUAUGUCUACUAAAUCUCUAUGUUAGUGUGAGUUUUUUCCUUGCAAAGUCUAUCAAUAAGUUCUAAGUCCUUUCCUUCCUUAUAUAGUGUGAGUGUGUGUGUGUUGAUAUGUCUACUAAAUCUCUAUGUUAGUGUUGAGUUUUUUCCUUGCAAAGUCUAUCAAUAAGUUCUAAGUCCUUUCCUUCCUUAUAUAGUGUGAGUGUGUGUAUUAAUAAGUAUACUAAAUCUCUAUGUAAGUCUGAAUGAGUGUUUUCUACCAGUCUGUCAAUAAGUUCUUUGCUUGUGUCGUAAGUAAUAAUUCUAACGUGUGUAAUUCUUGCAGGUCACGCUUGCCAAGAUGCUCUGCGAUAACUGUGAUAAUGUGGAGAGUGAGCAGCGGUCCGUCUUUGACCUUCCUGACCCCUUCCUGAACCCUCGUGUGUCCCGCUGUGACCUGCCGGGGAUCAACCCAGAGCUGUGGAAGGAGCGCGUGUCAUGUGGGGUCGGCAAGACUGAUAUUGACAUCGGGGCAGCCGAGCGCAUAUCACCCUGUGUCAUGUGCACCUGUACCAAGGAAGGGAAUUGAAUGGCUGAACGGACAUCUCUGGCGUCUUGGUCUGCCUGCGGCACACUGCACACUCUGGAAGAAAGAACACCAAGAUGUCAAGUUCCUGCAGAAUCAGCCUCUUAGUGAAGAAAAUGUGCCUUAUUUAUUUAAUAAAUAAUUG
Molecule: long non-coding RNA, 916 nt
Organism: Eriocheir sinensis (Chinese mitten crab)
Lineage: Eukaryota; Metazoa; Arthropoda; Malacostraca; Decapoda; Varunidae
Exons: 3
Source: RefSeq, a predicted model, not a curated record